AUGACAAGCACUUUGAAAAGAGGGUGAAAAGAGCCUGAAACCGUUACGGGGGAAGCGGAUUGCAUUGGAUUGGAACGGGUAUUUUGGUGUUCAGCCCUUUUGGGUGUAUUCACUUUGAUACUCAACUGCCGUGGGUUUCUGGGGGGUGAUUUUGAUCUCCUAGGGACUGAGGGCUCCCCUUUUUUUUGGGUUGAGGACGGCAGUGUGACGAUGCGAUACGACCCGUCUUGAAACACGGACCAAGGAGUCUAGCGCGGUUGCGAGUCGAAGGGUGUCAAAACCCGUGGGCGAAGUGAAAGCGAGUGAAUUUUUUAAAAACGAGCAGUUUGAGGCGGCAUAAAAUCGUUGAUUUUAGGUCCGACCUUGAGCAGUUGCGCUGGGACCCGAAAGAUGGUGAACUAUGCCGGAGUAGGGCGAAGCCAGGGGAAACCCUGGUGGAGGCUCGUAGCGGUGCUGACGUGCAAAUCGCUCGUCGAACUUGGGUAUAGGGGCGAAAGACUAAUCGAACCAUCUAGUAGCUGGUUCCCUCCGAAGUUUCUCUCAGGAUAGCUGGGUAACAGGGUUGUUUUGUGC
Molecule: ribosomal RNA, 573 nt
Filed under: Platoma cyclocolpa
Lineage: Eukaryota; Rhodophyta; Florideophyceae; Nemastomatales; Schizymeniaceae
Description: eukaryotic LSU rRNA
Rfam family: Eukaryotic large subunit ribosomal RNA
Source: RNAcentral